CAUGAAUCCAGCCAGAGAUAGAGAAGUGGCUGAUAGAGGAAGAAGAGUGGCUGGGAGAGGGAGAGGAGUACGUAUGUGUGUUGGAAGAAGACUGAGAGGAAGAUCAAAAGCUGCUGUCUCAGAUGAGAUUAGGGUUACUAUAAUUGAUCAUGUAAUAAAUCACGGUCUAUCAAUGAGAGAGGCUGGUCUGAGAGUGCAGACAAAUCUGCAACGCUCAACAGUGGCAUCUGUUGUGAGAAAUGUCCGGCAAAACAACUGGACCCAACGGUUACCUCCCACAGGUCGGAGAGGUAGGAUUUUCACUGCUGUGCAGGAAACUGCAAUCAUUGAUAUGGUCAUCAGAAACAAUGGCAUAAAACUCAGAGAUUCGGGAAAGAGUGUUGGCAGACAACAUUACAUUACAAGUCAGGAUGAAGCAGUUGUACACUGUCCCCUUUGAGAGGAACGCUGAACGAGUCAAGCAACUCAGGAACCAAUAUGUCCAGAGAGUCAUGGAGCCAGGCAAACACCCCACAUAUUCAUCUUUGUGGAUGAGGCUGGUUUCAACUUGACCAAAACACGGCUGCGAGGAAGGAAUGUGAUUGGGAAACGAGCCACAGUGGAUGUCCCGGGCCAGAGGGGUGCCAACAUCACAAUGUAUGCAGCAAUAUCCUCUGAUGGUUGGCUGUUACACAAACCGCUAAUUGGGCCAAACAACAUCGAGC
Molecule: long non-coding RNA, 704 nt
Organism: Oncorhynchus tshawytscha (Chinook salmon)
Lineage: Eukaryota; Metazoa; Chordata; Actinopteri; Salmoniformes; Salmonidae
Source: Ensembl